AUCCCCGUGUGGGGGAGGGGGGCCUUCGGUCUCUCCCCAGCCUCUUCCUUCCCCCUGGCCUGAGGGUGGGUGGGGAGGGGCAGUUCCUCUUUCCUUCCCAAGCACCGAGGAGGCCCCAGCUCCCUAGGGGCUGAGAAGCUGGAGUCCUGGGGAAGGGGAGGAGCUGAGCCCUACUCUUGCGAGACCCCCGCCCUCCUCCCCCCACGCGGGAAGCAUGAACAGAAAAGACAGUAAGAGGAAGUCCCACCAGGAAUGCACCGGAAAAACAGGAGGGCGAGGCCGGCCCCGCCAAGUGCGCCGCCACAAGACAUGCCCCAGCCCCCGGGAAAUCAGCAAGGUCAUGGCUUCCAUGAACCUGGGCCUGCUGAGUGAGGGCGGCUGCAGCGAAGAUGAGCUGCUGGAGAAAUGCAUCCAGUCCUUCGAUUCAGCUGGCAGCCUGUGCCACGGGGACCACAUGCUCAACAUGGUGCUGGCCAUGCACAGCUGGGUGCUGCCGUCCGCCGACCUGGCUGCCCGCCUGCUGACCUCAUACCAGAAGGCCACAGGGGACACCCAGGAGCUGAGACGGCUGCAGAUCUGUCACCUGGUCAGGUACUGGCUGAUGCGACACCCUGAGGUGAUGCACCAGGAUCCCCAGCUAGAAGAAGUCAUAGGUCGUUUCUGGGCCACCGUGGCCCGGGAGGGCAACUCAGCCCAGAGAAGACUGGGAGACUCUUCUGACCUGUGAGUCAGCCCUGUGCUCCCCUCUUCCCUGCCCCAUCGCCAUUCUGCCAUCUCCCUCUACAUCCCCAAGCCCUCAACUGUGAGCCACUCCAAUACCCUGCCCCUCUUGGCCCCCAGCCUGAGCCCUGGUGGCCCUGGCCCCCCACUCCCAAUAAGCAGCCCAGGCCUGGGCAAAAAGCGCAAAGUGUCCUUGCUUUUCGACCACCUGGAGACGGGGGAGCUGGCUCAGCACCUCACCUACCUGGAGUUCCGGUCCUUCCAGGCUAUCACGCCCCAGGACCUGCGGAGCUACGUUUUGCAGGGCUCAGUACGAGGCUGCCCGGCCCUGGAGGGCUCCGUAGGUCUCAGCAACAGCGUGUCCCGCUGGGUGCAGGUGAUGGUGCUGAGCCGUCCCGGGCCCCUACAGCGCGCACAGGUGCUGGACAAGUUCAUUCACGUGGCACAGGCUCCACCAGCUGCAGAAUUUCAACACGCUGAUGGCAGUCACAGGGGGCCUGUGUCACAGUGCCAUCUCCAGACUCAAGGACUCCCAUGCCCACCUGAGCCCUGACAGCACCAAGGCCCUCCUGGAACUCACUGAGCUCCUUGCCUCCCACAACAACUACGCCCGCUACCGCCGCACCUGGGCUGGCUGCGCGGGCUUCCGGCUGCCUGUACUGGGCGUGCACCUCAAGGACCUGGUGUCCCUGCAUGAGGCACAGCCCGACAGGUUGCCUGACGGCCGCCUGCACCUACCCAAGCUGAACAACCUCUACCUGCGGCUGCAGGAGCUGGUGGCCCUCCAAGGGCAGCAUCCACCCUGCAGCGCCAAUGAGGAUCUGCUGCACCUCCUCACGCUCUCCCUGGACCUCUUCUACACGGAAGACGAGAUCUAUGAGCUUUCUUAUGCCCGGGAGCCGCGUUGUCCCAAGAGUCUGCCACCCUCCCCCUUCAAUGCACCUCUGGUGGUGGAGUGGGCCCCUGGUGUGACACCCAAGCCGGACAGGGUCACACUGGGUCGGCAUGUGGAGCAGCUGGUGGAGUCUGUGUUCAAGAAUUAUGACCCUGAAGGCCGAGGAACAAUCUCUCAGGAGGACUUUGAGCGACUCUCGGGCAAUUUUCCCUUUGCUUGCCAUGGGCUUCACCCACCCCCACGCCAGGGGAGAGGAUCCUUCAGCAGAGAGGAGCUGACAGGGUACCUGCUCCGGGCCAGCGCCAUCUGCUCCAAGUUGGGCCUGGCCUUCCUGCACACCUUCCAUGAGGUUACCUUCCGAAAGCCUACCUUCUGCGACAGCUGCAGUGGCUUCCUCUGGGGUGUCACCAAGCAAGGCUACCGCUGUCGGGAGUGCGGGCUGUGUUGCCACAAACACUGCAGAGACCAGGUGAAGGUAGAAUGUAAGAAGAGGCCAGGGGCCAAGGGCGAUGCAGGACCCCCCGGAGCUCCUGUCCCAUCCACACCAGCUCCCCAUGCCAGCUGUGGCUCCGAGGAAAAUCACUCCUACACGCUAUCCCUGGAACCUGAGACUGGGUACCAGCUUCGCCAUGCCUGGACCCAGACUGAAUCCCCACACCCUUCCUGGGAAACAGAUACGGUCCCCUGCCCGGUGAUGGACCCACCAUCAACUGCAUCCUCCAAGCUGGAUUCCUAGACAUCUCUUGGUCUCCUCUCUUCCUCACUCCCUUCCCCCAGUCAGUCCUGAGUCCUGUCGUCAGACUCUGGCAGGGCUCCCAGAGGAGCAUCAACUCCAGGAGAACAGGGAUUUCUAUCAAUGUCAUUCACUGCUGCAUCCCCAGUGCCUAGAACAGGGCUGGCAGGUGGUAGGCGCCUGACAGAUGCUUGUCUGAUGCCUGAAUGUCUCCUUACCCAUGCCCACGGCGCAGGAUAGAUGUGCUAUAGGGCAAAGAACUUUGAGGGUCGAGCAGCAGGGGCCCAUUCAGUCCCAGGGAGCAGAGACCCCCCCCCCACCCCUUCACAAACCCCAACACCCCUGACUUGGCCCCCACAGAGAGAGGUCCUACAGCUGUCAUAAAUUAAAUUUAUUCUCUGGA
RNAcentral lists this small RNA (2751 nucleotides) under Pan troglodytes (chimpanzee). RNAcentral's name for it is "retained intron". The record is from RNAcentral. Lineage: Eukaryota; Metazoa; Chordata; Mammalia; Primates; Hominidae.